Molecule: ribosomal RNA, 669 nt
Filed under: uncultured archaeon
Lineage: Archaea
Description: bacterial SSU rRNA
Rfam family: Archaeal small subunit ribosomal RNA
Source: RNAcentral
GGGUGCAGCAGGCGCGCAAACUUUACAAUGCGAGCAAUCGUGAUAAGGAAACCCUGAGUGCCUGUCGAUGCAGGCUGUUCAUAUAUCUAAAUCAUAUGUGAAGAAAGGGCAGGGCAAGACCGGUGCCAGCCGCCGCGGUAAUACCGGCUGCUCGAGUGAUGGCCACUAUUACUGGGUUUAAAGCGUCCGUAGCUUGACUGUUAGGUCUCUUGGGAAAUCUUCACGCUCAACGUGAAGGCGUCUAAGAGAUACCGGCAGUCUUGGAACUGGGAGAGGUAAACCGUACUUCGGGGGUAGGAGUGAAAUCUUGUAAUCCUCGAGGGACGACCUAUGGCGAAGGCAGUUUACCAGAACAGCUUCGACAGUGAGGGACGAAAGCUGGGGGAGCAAACGGGAUUAGAUACCCCGGUAGUCCCAGCCGUAAACAAUGUGCGUUAGGUGUGUCGGUAACCACGUGUUACUGAUGCGCCGAAGAGAAAUCGUGAAACGCACCACCUGGGAAGUACGGUCGCAAGGCUGAAACUUAAAGGAAUUGGCGGGGGAGCACCACAACAGGUGGAGCCUGCGGUUUAAUUGGAUUCAACGCCGGACAUCUCACCGGAUAAGACAGCUGAAUGAUUGUCAAUCUGAAGGUUUUACAUGACUAGCUGAGAGGAGGUGCAUGGCCAA